Molecule: ribosomal RNA, 500 nt
Filed under: human intestinal firmicute CO19
Lineage: Bacteria
Description: bacterial SSU rRNA
Rfam family: Bacterial small subunit ribosomal RNA
Source: RNAcentral
AGAGUUUGAUCCUGGCUCAGGACGAACGCUGGCGGCGCGCCUAACACAUGCAAGUCGAACGAGAGAUAAGGAGCUUGCUCUUUAAAUCGAGUGGCGAACGGGUGAGUAACGCGUGAGGAACCUGCCUCAAAGAGGGGGACAACAGUUGGAAACGACUGCUAAUACCGCAUAAGCCCACGGCUCGGCAUCGAGCAGAGGGAAAAGGAGCAAUCCGCUUUGAGAUGGCCUCGCGUCCGAUUAGCUAGUUGGUGAGGUAACGGCCCACCAAGGCGACGAUCGGUAGCCGGACUGAGAGGUUGAACGGCCACAUUGGGACUGAGACACGGCCCAGACUCCUACGGGAGGCAGCAGUGGGGAAUAUUGCACAAUGGGGGAAACCCUGAUGCAGCGACGCCGCGUGGAGGAAGAAGGUCUUCGGAUUGUAAACUCCUGUUGUUGAGGAAGAUAAUGACGGUACUCAACAAGGAAGUGACGGCUAACUACGUGCCAGCAGCCGCGGU